Molecule: ribosomal RNA, 497 nt
Filed under: uncultured bacterium
Lineage: Bacteria
Description: partial 16S ribosomal RNA
Rfam family: Bacterial small subunit ribosomal RNA
Source: RNAcentral
GAUGAACGCUGGCGGCGUGCCUAAUACAUGCAAGUAGAACGCUGAAGGAAGGAGCUUGCUCUUUCCGGAUGAGUUGCGAACGGGUGAGUAACGCGUAGGUAACCUGCCUGGUAGCGGGGGAUAACUAUUGGAAACGAUAGCUAAUACCGCAUAACAGUAGAUGUUGCAUGAUAUCUACUUAAAAGGUGCAAUUGCACCACUACCAGAUGGACCUGCGUUGUAUUAGCUAGUUGGUGAGGUAACGGCUCACCAAGGCGACGAUACAUAGCCGACCUGAGAGGGUGAUCGGCCACACUGGGACUGAGACACGGCCCAGACUCCUACGGGAGGCAGCAGUAGGGAAUCUUCGGCAAUGGACGGAAGUCUGACCGAGCAACGCCGCGUGAGGGAAGAAGGUUUUCGGAUCGUAAAGCUCUGUUGUAAGAGAAGAACGAGUGUGAGAGUGGAAAGUUCACACUGUGACGGUAGCUUACCAGAAAGGGACGGCUAACUACGUG